GUAGGUGGCAAGCGUUGUCCGGAAUUAUUGGGCGUAAAGCGCGCGCAGGCGGUUCUUUAAGUCUGAUGUGAAAGCCCACGGCUCAACCGUGGAGGGUCAUUGGAAACUGGAGAACCUGAGUACAGAAGAGGAAAGCGGAAUUCCACGUGUAGCGGUGAAAUGCGUAGAGAUGUGGAGGAACACCAGUGGCGAAGGCGGCUUUCUGGUCUGUAACUGACGCUGAGGCGCGAAAGCGUGGGGAGCAAACAGGGAUUAGAUACCCUGGUAGUCCACGCCGUAAACGAUGAGUGCUAAGUGUUAGGGGGGUUUUCCGCCCCCCUUAGUGCUGCAGCUAACGCAUUAAGCACUCCGCCUGGGAGUACGGCCGCAAGGCUG
This 375-nucleotide ribosomal RNA is filed under the name uncultured organism. RNAcentral describes it as "partial 16S ribosomal RNA". It matches the Rfam family "Bacterial small subunit ribosomal RNA", at positions 527 to 896 of the family's 1533-position model. The record is from RNAcentral.